This 27-nucleotide non-coding RNA is filed under the name Rattus norvegicus (Norway rat). The record is from RNAcentral. Lineage: Eukaryota; Metazoa; Chordata; Mammalia; Rodentia; Muridae.
UUCAUAUACAAGGCAGGACCCCGAUCA